Xenopus tropicalis (tropical clawed frog) is the source of this 576-nucleotide long non-coding RNA. RefSeq lists it as uncharacterized. The record is from RefSeq and is a predicted model, not a curated record. The transcript is spliced from 3 exons. NCBI's taxonomy places the organism in Eukaryota, Metazoa, Chordata, Amphibia, Anura, Pipidae.
CUCAGUGUUUGGAUGGAUGAAGCCCAUGGAAGUGGGGUUCAGCUUAUCCCUCAGUAUCCAGUGCUUAAUCAGUCUGUUACCCUGAGCGUCACUGGGGUCACUGGCACAAUACAACAGUUUACAUGGUAUAAAGUUAUACAUGGUUAUAACCAAUUAUUCAGUGUUAUUCCAUCUCUAAACACAGUGACAGCAGGGCCUCAGUAUUUCCCUUGGGCCAGCUGGCUUCCAAAUGGCUCAUUGCAAAUUUUAGGCCUUGUUCCUACAGACCAGGGGAGUUACAUGGUACAGAUUUGGACUGCUUAUACAAUACCACACAGAAUUUCAGUUACCCUGCCAGUUUAUGCUAAAUGGGCCAGAUGAAAGAACCAUGUCACCCUGUGUCAUUCAAUUGAGAAGUCCCCAUUGGACCUAAAGUUGAAGCUCAUUGGCAAAUACGGUCUGCGUAACUAGCACGAAGUGUAGAGGGUGAGAAUUACUCUUGCCAAGAUCUGAAAGGCUGCCAGAGAGCUGCUAACCUUGGGUGAGAAGGAACCCGAGCGCCUGUGUGAGGGUAUAGUGCAUUUUAUUCCAAACUUU